GUGCCAGCCGCCGCGGUAAUACGAACUGCGCGAACGUUAUUCGGAAUCACUGGGCUUACAGGGUGCGUAGGCGGCGGAGAAAGUAGGGUGUGAAAUGCCUUGGCUCAACCAAGGCACAGCGCUCUAAACUACUUCGCUGGAGUGAGUCAGGGGUGCACGGAACUUCCGGUGGAGCGGUGAAAUGUGUUGAUAUCGGAAGGAACACCGGUGGCGAAAGCGGUGCACUGGGGCUUAACUGACGCUGAGGCACGAAAGCCAGGGUAGCGAACGGGAUUAGAUACCCCCGUAGUCC
Molecule: ribosomal RNA, 292 nt
Filed under: uncultured bacterium
Lineage: Bacteria
Description: partial 16S ribosomal RNA
Rfam family: Bacterial small subunit ribosomal RNA
Source: RNAcentral